GUGGGGAAUCUUGCGCAAUGGGCGAAAGCCUGACGCAGCCAUGCCGCGUGGAUGAUGAAGGUCUUAGGAUUGUAAAAUCCUUUCACCGGUGAAGAUAAUGACUGUAGCCGGAGAAGAAGCCCCGGCUAACUUCGUGCCAGCAGCCGCGGUAAUACGAAGGGGGCUAGCGUUGCUCGGAUUUACUGGGCGUAAAGGGCGCGUAGGCGGACAUUUAAGUGAGGGGUGAAAUCCCGGGGCUCAACCUCGGAACUGCCUUUGAUACUGGGUGUCUUGAGUAUGAGAGAGGUGUGUGGAACUCCGAGUGUAGAGGUGAAAUUCGUAGAUAUUCGGAAGAACACCAGUGGCGAAGGCGACACACUGGCUCAUUACUGACGCUGAGGCGCGAAAGCGUGGGGAGCAAACAGGAUUAGAAACCCCAGUAGUCC
This 425-nucleotide ribosomal RNA is filed under the name uncultured bacterium. Its description in RNAcentral is "partial 16S ribosomal RNA". It matches the Rfam family "Bacterial small subunit ribosomal RNA", at positions 354 to 796 of the family's 1533-position model. The record is from RNAcentral.